Molecule: ribosomal RNA, 234 nt
Filed under: uncultured bacterium
Lineage: Bacteria
Description: partial 16S ribosomal RNA
Rfam family: Bacterial small subunit ribosomal RNA
Source: RNAcentral
UGGCGGACGGGUGAGUAAUGUCUGGGAAACUGCCCGAUGGAGGGGGAUAACUACUGGAAACGGUAGCUAAUACCGCAUAACGUCGCAAGACCAAAGAGGGGGACCUUCGGGCCUCUUGCCAUCGGAUGUGCCCAGAUGGGAUUAGCUAGUAGGUGGGGUAACGGCUCACCUAGGCGACGAUCCCUAGCUGGUCUGAGAGGAUGACCAGCACACUGGAACUGAGACACGGUCCAG